Molecule: long non-coding RNA, 856 nt
Organism: Cucumis sativus (cucumber)
Lineage: Eukaryota; Viridiplantae; Streptophyta; Magnoliopsida; Cucurbitales; Cucurbitaceae
Exons: 3
Source: RefSeq, a predicted model, not a curated record
UUAGGACAAAUUAACUAGUAAAAGUCUAUAUUGUCCUUAGGUUAAAAAAACCCUAAAAAUAAAUUUUUUACUAUUAUUCUUCUUUUCCUCCUUCAUUCUCGCGUUCUCCUUCUCCCUCGCUCUCUUCUACCGAGCAAAAUGGAGGGACUUCAACUUUCUCCUUUCUUAGUCGCCGUCGUCGUCUCCUUCACCGUCGCCGAUUGUUCAAGCCUCCGUGGUGGUCAGUCCAUGUUUGGAAUGUAAGAUUCUGCAUCAGAGAUGCGUAGAGAAAUGCAUAUUGGCCCCCUAUUUUCCUCCCUCUGAGCCUCUCAAGUUCACCUUGCUCACCGCAUCUUCAGCACUAGCAACAUCAUCAAAUUGCUUAUGAAAACAUCUCCGGAAGAAACUCGGGUAGGAUUAGAACUGUAGCUGCCAAAAGAAGAAUGGGUUCCAAUUAAUCCUCUCCUGGUUGGAUUUGGACAAAAUAUUUGCAUUUCCCUUAGACCCAAAUGUGAAAAUUGAAGUAUUAGUGACCUAUGCUCAUCUGCAUUCAAUGAGUCUUCAACACCAUCACCCAAAUUAAAUGGUUCAAGUUCUACCAAAAAGUUGUGAUCAUCGUUCUGUACGGAUGAAUAUAUUUACUUAGUCCUACAUUUUUCCCAAGUUUUUGGUUUUCUAUCUUUUUGUUUUUUUGUUUUUGGCACCAUAAUGGUUUACGAAUUUAGAUGUUCCAUUAUGGUUUAUAUCGCCAAGUGUUGAAUAGAUAGAUAAGUGGAUAUUGAAGGAUCUCAAUUGGCCAAUGUUGUGUAGAACGAACUUUGUUAUUGAUAUUAUAAUGUAUAUCAGUCCUUGGUGCGGAUUUUACAUUAUACCAUAA